GCCAGACUGCCUUACCUCUUCAUAAGCCAUCAACACAAGCUCAGGAUGGGUGGUACUACAGCAGCUUUAGUAUUACCAUUCUAGUUCUCCAACUCCAUCUCAGCCUAUAUUGGCACAUCAGGCAGCCUCAAAAGAUCCUCAGCCUUAUGAAAUUCAGUCACCGAUGUUUAAGGCAGAGGAGAAAACCUUUGGUCUUCUGCAGUCACCUUCUUCUCUCUUGCAUGCCAGGGAAUACU
Molecule: long non-coding RNA, 236 nt
Organism: Oxyura jamaicensis (ruddy duck)
Lineage: Eukaryota; Metazoa; Chordata; Aves; Anseriformes; Anatidae
Exons: 3
Source: RefSeq, a predicted model, not a curated record